Molecule: long non-coding RNA, 1780 nt
Filed under: Citrus maxima (pomelo)
Lineage: Eukaryota; Viridiplantae; Streptophyta; Magnoliopsida; Sapindales; Rutaceae
Description: long non-coding RNA (CMAX_LNC003186)
Source: RNAcentral
CGCUCAAUAUUCACCUAAAAACAUCGCCCGAAAUAUGCCCACACAUAGUUCCUUCACUUUCGGUGUUUCUUGAGUUUCGCCGAGUUCCUUUACUUCCAGCGGCGAUUUCCUUCGCUUCCAGUGGCGUGUGUGAGCUAUUUUGCUUCCAACAAGAUUAUUUAGAUACAGUUUCCGUGGCUUAGGUACUUUCUUGAUUUUUUUCAUGAAUUUAGAAUAAAUUUUUGUUAAAAUUGCCUGCUUGGUUCAUCAUUAAUCAUAGUUAAUCACUAAGAUGUGUAUUGUGUAUGAAAAUAUAAGAGUUUUUUUAAGAUUAAGAUAUCUAAUAAAUGACACACCAAGUGUUUGUUUAAAUGUCUCUAAGAAAUUAUUGAUCUAAACUUACAAUUAUUUUGAGGUUAAAGAGAAGAUUGGUGUGUUGGUCAAUCAAGAACGUGAAUGGUUGCUCGUGUUGCCUAAACUUUGGUCAUGUUAAGCUUAGGCAAGGCGGGCGGCUUCUCCCCAUCACCCAACCAAAUGGCCAUGCAUGGUGUGGGAGACUGAGCAACGCGGGCGACACGCUUGCGUUGCCCAGCCAUGUAAAUAGGUGACAGCAUGAUUUGGUUGGGCGAUAUGUGUUGUUGCCCAUGUACCUGCGUCACCUGCUUUUUGGGCAACAGUAAUUGAAUCUGGGCAACAAAAUCAUGUCGCCCAUGUAUCGGGUGACGUAGGUACAUGGGCGACAACAACUGAAUUUGGGCGAUAGCAUGCUGUCGCCUGAGUUUUCUGAUUGUUUCAAAUUUAUUUUUUUCUUUAAAAAUUUAUGUUAAUGCUAUCCUAAUUUAUUGUUUAGAUAUGUCUGACAAGCAAAUGCAUCCCUGGUCACUGAAGAUACCAAUCAAUGAUCAUUUCCUAUGUUGUGUGUCAAAUUUAACGAGAUUUACUUUUGUCACUAUGCAUAUACAGACUAAGUUAACUAAUACUCAAUUUGGGCUAUUCAAAAAGUCAAUUUUUGGUCAUUUUCUGGCCAUGGGGGAUCCUGGAUUUAGCGGCAAUCUUGUACACUAUUUGUUGCUUAGACUAGUCGUAAAACCUAACUUUAGCUAUUGUGGAGAUUUGCUUAGGAAGAAGAUUGCUAUGGAUAUCUUUAUGUAUGAGAUUUUGUAAAAAGACACAUUAUUAAACACAUACUAUUAAGUUGUCUUAUUUUAUAUUCUUAUUGUCAAUUGAUAUUUUCAGCAGCCACUAAAAUUGAGCAAUAUGCAACUCUCUGAAAAAUCGGGCGACACAGCCUGUCACCGUUUUUCCCGAGACUUACAUAAUGCUUGACUAAACCAAGCAAUAGACAUCUCUCUGGAAAAUCGUGCGACACAGCCUGUUAUAUGUUUCUGCAUGCAUAUUAUCUAUAUAUGUAUUGACAACAUUAUCAUCAAUAAGAUCCUUAUGGGAGCAGAAUGGGGAGUAGUGUUCAAAGGCUGAAGUUUGAAUUGAUGGCAUCAAAGGAAGCUCUCUCGGAACUUUAGGAGUUGCCGUCACAUAAAUAUGAGUGCAUCCAUAAUUAAUUGGAUAAGAGUUCAUAUGCAUAAUCACUCUCACUAUUUCAUCGUCCAUUAUGUCUAUAGGUAGUGAAUCAAUGGGUUGCGUUGGAUAAGUUGAUUUCACAUUUGUCUUUACUGUGAGGGAAUACUCAUCUAGACUUUUCUUCAGAAUUCCAUAUAACCUUACAAUAAAUUGUUCAAAUGUUGCAUCCUUUUAUAAACAAAAUGCAGUAACUUUUCCAUUCUCAUACUCCAUAUGACCAUCC